RNAcentral lists this long non-coding RNA (1219 nucleotides) under Androctonus crassicauda. Lineage: Eukaryota; Metazoa; Arthropoda; Arachnida; Scorpiones; Buthidae. The record is from RNAcentral.
AAAGUCGUCUCUCGAAAUAUGUUGAGACAUGUACUGCCCUAUACUUCAUAAUGGAAAGGUGAGUUAUGUUAGAUAUAUACACUACACGCGUUUCUACCGUAUUGUUUUAAAGUUUCGUUACACGACAAACUCGCGCCAAGAAACCAGACUGGGUGUCAGGUAUCUGUUAAUCGAUUCCGCGGUAAAAGUGACGCGGAAUUUUCGAGAUUCUUGUCAACUAGACAGUGGGUAAUAAGAAAAUCUGUAUCGCCGGUCUACAAAAUGUCAUGUUUAACCAACCUUCUCCGGUUUAACGAACCAUAUCAAUCUCUUUUUAUUUGUCCCGGAUUUUAAAUCACACUCUCUUGUCUUUUUUGUUUUUUUUUUUACCUCUCUUCCGGUAUUAUUUCCGAAUUGCCGCGCGUGAUGGGUUAAAACAUCCGGUGCAAAAUGCGCAUGCUUGCUCGCACCUCUAGGAAUCUAGUGAACAGGACGCAUGAGCAGAAUAUCCAAUGUCCAUGUGGAGUCCGUUGUCCGCUGUCCGUUUCCUGUCUGAAUUCAUUGUUCAGAAACUAAUGGGAGUUGGAAUGUUCCACAUCAAUGCAGUUAUAGCUUCAUUUUAUAACAUCGUUUCUGUUUAAAAUUACGUAUCCCAGUUAGGUGUUGCUUGCACGCAGGAAAUGCUUCUCUUGGGCGAAUUUUUGUUAUUUUUUUUAAACCACAACGCGCAUUCUUUAAUAAGUGUUAUAUAAGUUUCGUGUUAAAAACUCGUUUAAUAACAUUUUUAAAAGGAUAAGACAUGCGAAAACAAGUACGGUUUAGAAAUCAUCCCCCUCGUACAACCUUGAAACUCUUUUUCCUUUCUUUGUGAUGGCCGAAAGACGUAGUUUGGUUGGUAUGUUGGCGGAAAAUUACCUUCAGCUAUUUCUCGAAAUUUUGGGGAGGGCAGAAAAGGGAAUAGCCCCACAAUACCGGAUAUGCGUCAAUCCUUGCAACGUGUUGCUGCGAUUUUCCCCAUAAUUUAAUAUUCUCUUCCAUUACUGGAAUAUUAUUUUUAAACUCAAAUUAUUACGACAACAUAUCUUCUAAAUAUAUAUACUGUAUACAUAUAUAUUUUCUAUCUAUGAGGAAUGGUUUUUUAAAAGCAAACUUAAAUAUUUUAUCAUCUUUUCAAAAGGCAAACAUCUGUAGAUAAGUAAAGUCGUACUUACAAGUUGAGAGAUAAAAAAAAAAAAAGACG